UGAGGAAUACAUCGGAAUCUACUCUGUCGUGGGGGAUAACGUAGGGAAACUUACGCUAAUACCGCAUACGACCUACGGGUGAAAGCAGGGGACCUUCGGGCCUUGCGCGAUUGAAUGAGCCGAUGUCGGAUUAGCUAGUUGGCGGGGUAAAGGCCCACCAAGGCGACGAUCCGUAGCUGGUCUGAGAGGAUGAUCAGCCACACUGGAACUGAGACACGGUCCAGACUCCUACGGGAGGCAGCAGUGGGGAAUAUUGGACAAUGGGCGCAAGCCUGAUCCAGCCAUACCGCGUGGGUGAAGAAGGCCUUCGGGUUGUAAAGCCCUUUUGUUGGGAAAGAAAUCCAGCUGGCUAAUACCCGGUUGGGAUGACGGUACCCAAAGAAUAAGCACCGGCUAACUUCGUGCCAGCAGCCGCGGUAAUACGAAGGGUGCAAGCGUUACUCGGAAUUACUGGGCGUAAAGCG
RNAcentral lists this ribosomal RNA (464 nucleotides) under Stenotrophomonas sp. K5. RNAcentral's name for it is "bacterial SSU rRNA". It matches the Rfam family "Bacterial small subunit ribosomal RNA", at positions 107 to 567 of the family's 1533-position model. The record is from RNAcentral. RNAcentral also lists the same sequence under 1 other name. Lineage: Bacteria; Pseudomonadati; Pseudomonadota; Gammaproteobacteria; Lysobacterales; Lysobacteraceae.